RNAcentral lists this long non-coding RNA (346 nucleotides) under Panax ginseng (ginseng). Its description in RNAcentral is "long non-coding RNA (PGIN_LNC005580)". The record is from RNAcentral. Lineage: Eukaryota; Viridiplantae; Streptophyta; Magnoliopsida; Apiales; Araliaceae.
CCUCAGAGAAGUCGAAGCAUCUACACCUCAGAAUCUGGGAAAGCUGAUGCCAAAUUGGGAAGGACCCUACGAAAUCACUGAAGUACCGAAGCCAGGGACUUAUCGUUUGAAGGCAUUAGAUGGAUCAGUAAUUAAAAACACUUGGCACGCUGGCAGGCUUAGAAAGUACUUUUAGUAGAUUCAAUGUCAGUACAUCGGAAGUCUGUAAAUAUUUACAUCAUCAUCAAUAAAAAUUCCUCUUUUCUCUCAAACAAAUUUUGUCUCUGUUGCUGCUCAGUUCAUUGGUGUUAGGAGGUUCGGGAGGACUCGCUGACCAUUCGAUGGUAGCCUCUUCGGCAGGUGGUCC